RNAcentral lists this ribosomal RNA (252 nucleotides) under uncultured bacterium. Its description in RNAcentral is "partial 16S ribosomal RNA". It matches the Rfam family "Bacterial small subunit ribosomal RNA", at positions 524 to 776 of the family's 1533-position model. The record is from RNAcentral.
UACGUAGGUGGCGAGCGUUAUCCGGAAUUAUUGGGCGUAAAGGGAGCGCAGGCGGUUAUAAAAGAUUGUGGUUAAAGAAUGGGGCUCAACUCCAUAAUGCCAUGAUAACUAUAUAACUAGAGUACAGAAGAGGAGAGUGGAAUUCCAUGUGUAGCGGUGAAAUGCGUAGAUAUAUGGAGGAACACCAGUGGCGAAGGCGACUCUCUGGUCUGUAACUGACGCUGAGGCUCGAAAGCGUGGGGAGCAAAUAGG